CACUCAUAUAACUUAAGGGUUAUGUGGUGGGACUAUUAAAAAAAGUAGUCAGCUUAUUUGUCCUGCGGAAGCAAAUACAUAUAGAGGUCUGAAAGUGUGUGAGUAGCAAAACGAAAGCACAAAUCAGC
RNAcentral lists this non-coding RNA (128 nucleotides) under unclassified sequences. RNAcentral describes it as "Bacteriophage Diversity-Generating Retroelement RNA". It matches the Rfam family "Bacteriophage Diversity-Generating Retroelement RNA". The record is from Rfam by way of RNAcentral.